GUGCUCGCUUUGGUGGCACAUAUACUAAAAUUGGAACGAUAUAGAGAUUAGCAUGGCCCCUACGCAAGGAUGAUAAGCAAAUUUGUGAAGCGUUCCAUAUUUUU
Molecule: small nuclear RNA, 104 nt
Organism: Phyllostomus hastatus (greater spear-nosed bat)
Lineage: Eukaryota; Metazoa; Chordata; Mammalia; Chiroptera; Phyllostomidae
Source: RefSeq, a predicted model, not a curated record